This 65-nucleotide transfer RNA is filed under the name Parablepharis kuhlii asiatica. Its description in RNAcentral is "tRNA-Gly". The record is from RNAcentral. Lineage: Eukaryota; Metazoa; Arthropoda; Insecta; Mantodea; Hymenopodidae.
AUUUACUUAGUAUAACAAAAUACCUUUGAUUUCCAAUCAAAAAAUCUUAAUAUUAAGAAUAAAUA